This 338-nucleotide unclassified non-coding RNA is filed under the name Hevea brasiliensis (rubber tree). The record is from RNAcentral. Lineage: Eukaryota; Viridiplantae; Streptophyta; Magnoliopsida; Malpighiales; Euphorbiaceae.
UUCAGCUUCUUGCUUUUCAUACUCACUUCCUUCAUCCUUCUCUACACUGCUUGCUUUACUUCCCUCUAAACAUCGAUCAAGAUCAGACCCAUUUCUAUUUCCAUCAUAUAUAACACCAUCACUACCAGACAAACCCCUACCAACGCCGGAGACGACCACCGGGAGUAUCUUGCCAAACAGCUUGAUCUCUGAAUCACAAGUCAUUUUCCAGACUAAAACGAAAAGGGUAUUCAAAAAAACGAAAAGGGAAACUGUAGAAACAGUCUAUUAUUCUGGGGAUUCUCGUUUAGUAUCCGACGAAGUCGCCGCCGGCGAGUUGACGACGUUUCAAAAGUGGA